This is a long non-coding RNA of Rosa chinensis, 803 nucleotides long. RefSeq lists it as uncharacterized. The record is from RefSeq and is a predicted model, not a curated record. The transcript is spliced from 4 exons. Lineage: Eukaryota; Viridiplantae; Streptophyta; Magnoliopsida; Rosales; Rosaceae.
UCCCUCAUUUUCCUUCAGCUCUCUCUUUCUCUACCCGAGACUUUCUCUCUCAUCCUCCUUGCUGGAAAUUGCCGCCGCCUAACCGCCGCGGUCGCCGGAACCCGGAUUUCAACCAAAGUUUCCAGAUUUUCUUCUCUUCCUACCCUCUUUCCAUUUCUCCAACCAAAAUCAAGAAAUUUGGCCAUCCAACCCUCCAAAAACCCUAGAACCUGAAGCUAAAUUGGGGCUUUUUGUGAUUUCUUCUUUCCAAGCUUAAAUCAAGGUAAUAUCCAUCCUAAUCUAGCCUCUAUUCCUUCGAUCUAUACAUCUUUCUUAUCAAAUUCGAGUUUUUGAUUUCCAUUUUGAAUUUUUGGUGCAUGAACCCGAUUUCUCCUUAAACCAUGAAGCUAGGCUAUGGGUUUGGCAAGGAUUUUUGGUGAAGAAGGCCAAGGAGAAGGAAUAGGACGUGAUUUUUGAAGAAGAAAGGGAAACACGAUCGUUAUGGAAGCUUAAGCGGAAAGCAUCAGAGUGUGGAGUACGCCAGCAUUAUCCAGCUAAUACAGUGGCUGUGAAUGCUAACGGGGGUCCCAAAGUGCUUUACGAUGUAUGGUGUAAAAAGGACAAGUAUGACCCAGAAUGUAAUGCUAAAUGUUUGGAUGUAGAUCCUCAAAGUGUUUCAUAUUGCGAAAAAGCCCCAUGCUUAAAGGAUAAAUAUUUAUGUAUAUGUAUACUUCCUUCUUGCUAGAUGCUCUUCCUAGUUCUUGUCUUGGCAUCCCAUGGAAAUAAAGGAGGAAAAAAAUAAAUAAAUGAAUAAAUGCUUUGCA